AAGAGCCUGAUUCAGUGUCCCCUGCAGCAGAGGGAGGGAUUCCUACUGGUCUCCAUGGGCUUUGGACCAGGACCUGUGGAGAUUAUUUUCACUGAGAGUUCUGAGUAAAAAUCCACUGCAGACAGAGAACCGGUUGUCUUUCCCCAAGACACAGUAGCAUCAUUUCUGUGAGUUGAUGUUGGCUGGCAAUAACAGGAGGACCACUGUGACCAAACAAAACCCCGCUGGUAUCAGUGGGGCUUGGCUUAUCUGCAGUGGGCUACCCACACAUAUGCCGACAGGAGAGAAAAGAGCUGAGGGGCAGCCAGCAGGGAACAGAGGCGAUCAUGUACGUUACAUGAGUUGGCUGUGCUAAAGGUGGCCGCGAUGUGGGUUCUACAGAGCUGAUGCCUUAAUGGAUUAAGAACAAUUGUUCACGAGCAACGGACUCUAGACUGUUUGUAUCCUGAGGAAAUUCAGCCUCAAACCUGCUAUCAGAAUGAACCUGAUGGAACAGCACCCCUUGAUGAAGUCCUCAUGACAAAGCUUUUCAGCAUGGUGCAUGUAACUUUCACAGCAACAACACUGAGGCACUGCAGUCUGAACUAAAAGAUGAUCUGCAAGGAAUUGAACUAGACUGAGAUUUUAAAAAUGCCUUACUUACUACUUCAGUUGAGGCUUGUAAUAUAAUCUGAUAUGAGGAAGAAAAAUAAAAAUAAAAUAUUAGCACUCUCUCCUGUUGCC
Molecule: long non-coding RNA, 723 nt
Filed under: Struthio camelus australis
Lineage: Eukaryota; Metazoa; Chordata; Aves; Struthioniformes; Struthionidae
Description: lncRNA (ENSSCUG00000009041.1)
Source: RNAcentral